RNAcentral lists this ribosomal RNA (253 nucleotides) under uncultured bacterium. RNAcentral's name for it is "partial 16S ribosomal RNA". It matches the Rfam family "Bacterial small subunit ribosomal RNA", at positions 524 to 776 of the family's 1533-position model. The record is from RNAcentral.
UACAGAGGGUGCAAGCGUUAUCCGGAUUCACUGGGUUUAAAGGGUGCGUAGGUGGGCAAGUAAGUCAGUGGUGAAAUCUCCGGGCUUAACCCGGAAACUGCCAUUGAUACUAUUUGUCUUGAAUACUGUGGAGGUCAGCGGAAUAUGUCAUGUAGCGGUGAAAUGCUUAGAUAUGACAUAGAACACCAAUUGCGAAGGCAGCUGGCUACACAAAUAUUGACACUGAGGCACGAAAGCGUGGGGAUCAAACAGG